AUCUGGGCGGCGGAAUUCAAGACGGCUGGCGGGUCUCGCGCUCGUUCGGCCGUUUGAUAUUUCCGUCGCCGUGUCAGACGUCGCGACCUGUUUGUCGUCGGUCCUUGCUCGGAGGAAUUGCGAUCGAGUUCGUUGCGGGCGCGUUUCGGCGUGCUUCGCGGCGAAGACGCGACUCUCUGGCCGACGACGGACAGUAAGCAACGGUGUCUGGCGCCGUGUCUCGCACUCGGCGUCGGUGCCGGUCAGCGACGAUUUCUUCGGACCUCUUUCCGACCCGUCUUGAAACACGGACCAAGGAGUCUAACAUGCGCGCGAGUCGCGGGGUUUCGAGCGUACCACGGUGCGCUCGUUACUUCCGAAACCCGUACGUUGAAGGCGUAAUGAAAGUGAAUAGGGAAGAUGGCGUUCCGAGACCACGUACCGUGAUCGAGUAUCGCGGCCGGACGUCCGCACUCCCGGGGCGUCUCAAUGGUUCGCCACGGAUGCGGACGAUCGUCUUUCGGGGCGGUCGUCGGUCUGUGGCGGUCCGA
RNAcentral lists this ribosomal RNA (530 nucleotides) under Chionaspis pinifoliae. RNAcentral's name for it is "partial 28S ribosomal RNA". Lineage: Eukaryota; Metazoa; Arthropoda; Insecta; Hemiptera; Diaspididae. The record is from RNAcentral.